CGAACGCUGGCGGCAGGCCUAAUACAUGCAAGUCGAACGGCUCUUCGGAGCAGUGGCGGACGGGUGAGUAACGCGUGGGAAUGUGCCCUUAGGUACGGAACAACACAGGGAAACUUGUGCUAAUACCGUAUGUGCCCUUCGGGGGAACGAUUUAUCGCCUUUGGAGCAGCCCGCGUUGGAUUAGGUAGUUGGUGAGGUAAAGGCUCACCAAUCCGACGAUCCAUAGCUGGUCUGAGAGGAUGACCAGCCACACUGGGACUGAGACACGGCCCAGACUCCUACGGGAGGGAGCAGUAGGGAAUCUUGCGCAAUGGGCGAAAGCCUGACGCAGCCAUGCCGCGUGUAUGAUGAAGGUCUUAGGAUUGUAAAAUACUUUCACCGGGGAAGAUAAUGACGGUACCCGGAGAAGAAGCCCCGGCUAACUUCGUGCCAGCAGCCGCCGUAA
RNAcentral lists this ribosomal RNA (445 nucleotides) under uncultured bacterium. RNAcentral describes it as "partial 16S ribosomal RNA". It matches the Rfam family "Bacterial small subunit ribosomal RNA", at positions 30 to 523 of the family's 1533-position model. The record is from RNAcentral.